CUGCGUUGUAUUAGCUAGUAGGUGAGGUAACGGCUCACCUAGGCGACGAUACAUAGCCGACCUGAGAGGGUGAUCGGCCACACUGGGACUGAGACACGGCCCAGACUCCUACGGGAGGCAGCAGUAGGGAAUCUUCGGCAAUGGACGAAAGUCUGACCGAGCAACGCCGCGUGAGUGAAGAAGGUUUUCGGAUCGUAAAGCUCUGUUGUAAGAGAAGAACGGGUGUGAGAGUGGAAAGUUCACACUGUGACGGUAUCUUACCAGAAAGGGACGGCUAACUACGUGCCAGCAGCCGCGGUAAUACGUAGGUCCCGAGCGUUGUCCGGAUUUAUUGGGCGUAAAGCGAGCGCAGGCGGUUAGAUAAGUCUGAAGUUAAAGGCUGUGGCUUAACCAUAGUACGCUUUGGAAACUGUUUAACUUGAGUGCAGAAGGGGAGAGUGGAAUUCCAUGUGUAGCGGUGAAAUGCGUAGAUAUAUGGAGGAACACCGGUGGCGAAAGCGGCUCUCUGGUCUGUAACUGACGCUGAGGCUCGAAAGCGUGGGGAGCGAACAGG
RNAcentral lists this ribosomal RNA (553 nucleotides) under uncultured Streptococcus sp. RNAcentral's name for it is "bacterial SSU rRNA". It matches the Rfam family "Bacterial small subunit ribosomal RNA", at positions 231 to 776 of the family's 1533-position model. The record is from RNAcentral. Lineage: Bacteria; Bacillati; Bacillota; Bacilli; Lactobacillales; Streptococcaceae.